RNAcentral lists this unclassified non-coding RNA (217 nucleotides) under fungal sp. Its description in RNAcentral is "partial internal transcribed spacer region". The stretch from base 1 to 46 matches the Rfam family "Eukaryotic small subunit ribosomal RNA", at positions 1786 to 1831 of the family's 1831-position model. Lineage: Eukaryota; Fungi. The record is from RNAcentral.
AAGUCGUAACAAGGUUUCCGUAGGUGAACCUGCGGAAGGAUCAUUACAACGUAUCCAACGUUCACCAACCGCGAACUUGUUUUUUCGUUUGACCACCUCUUUCACCCCUUUUUUGCGAGUUGCUUUUAUGCUGGUCGCGUGCUCGAAAGAGCCGCGCGACACGUUUCACCUAGUUGAACGUAAAAUACAACUCUUAGCAAUGGAUAUCUAGGUUCUC